CAAUCGAACUCGGAGAUAGCUGGUUCUCCUCGAAAUAGCUUUAGGGCUAGCCUUGAGGUAAAACAUGUGGGGGUAGAGCACUGAAUGAUUUAGGGGCCAAACCAGGUUACCGACAUCUAUCAAACUACGAAUACCAUGUGGAAGUACUCAGGAGUCAGACUGCGGGAGCUAAGUUCCGUGGUCAAAAGGGAAAGAGCCCAGACCGACAAUUAAGGUCCCAAAGAGAUAGUUAAGUGGAAAACGAUGUGAAAAUGCAAAGACAACCAGGAUGUUGGCUUAGAAGCAGCCAUACAUUAAAAGAGUGCGUAACAGCUCACUGGUCGAGUGAAUUUGCGCGGAAAAUUACCGGGGCUAAACUAUCCACCGAAAUUGCGGAUUGUAGUACAUUUAACAAUAUGUAUAGGAAAGAAUAUAUAUUGUUAAGUGUACUGCAGUGGUAGAGGAGCAUUCUGUAGUAGGAAGAAGCUAAAGCGAAAGCAUUGGUGGACGAGACAGAAGAGAGAAUGCUGGAAUAAGUAGCGAGAGCAAGGUGAGAAUCCUUGCCGUCGAAAGUCUAAGGUUUCCUGGGGAAGGUUCGUCCGCCCAGGGUAAGUCGGGACCUAAGGAGAGGCCGAGAAGGCGUAUCUGAUGGAUAGCAGGUUGAAAUUCCUGCACUACCGAUACUUUUAAAAACGUCAAGGGACGCAGGAGAGGAAGGAAAGCGAGGAAGAGGAAAAACUCGUAUCGAAAGAUAUAGUGAAAAUAAAAGUAACGAAAUUCCAAGAAUCACACUGACGAGAAAAGCUUGAUGACAUUAAGUAGAGGUACCCGUACCGCAAACCGACACAGGUAGAUGAGGAGAGGAUCCUAAGACGAACGGGAGAAGCAUUGUUAAGGAACUCGGCAAAAUGACCCCGUAACUUCGGGAGAAGGGGAGCCUAAGUAAAAUUAGGUCGCAGAGAAAAGGCCCAAGCAACUGUUUAACAAAAACACAGGUUUCUGCUAAAUCGAAAGAUGAAGUAUAGGAGCUGACGCCUGCCCAGUGCUGGAAGGUCAAGGGGAGAUGUUAGAAGAAAUUCGAAGCAUAGAACCAAAGCCCCAGUGAACGGCGGCCGUAACUAUAACGGUCCUAAGGUAGCGAAAUUCCUUGUCAGGUAAGUUCUGACCCGCACGAAAGGCGUAAUGAUUUGGGCACUGUCUCGACAAUGUACCCGGCGAAAUUGUAGUACUAGUGAAGAUGCUAGUUACCUGCGACAAGACAGAAAGACCCCAUGGAGCUUUACUGUAGUUUGAUAUUGGGUUUCGGUAAUUUAUGUACAGGAUAGGUGGGAGACAAAGAAGGAUAGGCGUCAGCUUAUCUGGAGUCAACGUUGGGAUACCACUCUUAAGUUAUUGAAAUUCUAACUUGUGAUCAUAAACUGGUCAGAGGACAAUGUCAGACGGGCAGUUUGACUGGGGCGGUCGCCUCCAAAAGAGUAACGGAGGCGCCCAAAGGU
This 1475-nucleotide ribosomal RNA is filed under the name human gut metagenome. RNAcentral describes it as "bacterial LSU rRNA". It matches the Rfam family "Bacterial large subunit ribosomal RNA", at positions 830 to 2317 of the family's 2925-position model. The record is from RNAcentral.